UUCCAGAAACCCCGACCGACGUCGCCGCACCCCCUCCGCGGCGCCGGCAUCCCGCAUCCGGCGCGGCGGGCUAGGGCUUCCUGCCCCGGGCCGGCGUACGCCCCCCCGACCCCGCCACCAUGGGGUUCGACGACAACGACGACGACGACCUCGUGGUCUACGGGACGCCCAUCGAGCGGGAGGAGGACACCUCCGCCCGCAAGCGCCGGGCCGUCGCCGAGGCCGGCCAGCUCCGCGCCCUCCCCGCCUGGAAGCAGGAGGUGAGGGAUGAGGAAGGGCGAAGAAGAUUCCAUGGCGCAUUUACUGGAGGUUUCUCAGCUGGCUAUUACAAUACCGUUGGCACAAAAGAGGGAUGGACUCCACAAACAUUCACAUCAUCACGGAAAAAUAGGGCUGAGGUGAAAAAGCAAAGCGUAUACAGUUUUCUUGAUGAGGAGGACAUAAAGGAUAUGGGUGGCAACGCGUUGGAAACAUCUCAGCAGUAUGAUACAUUUGGUUUGACAGCUACAGAAUAUGCCCGAAAGCAAGCAUCCAAGGAACAGAAAGAGAGACCAUCCGCUAUACCUGGACCUAUUCCUGAUGAGCUGGUGGUCCCUGCUACUACUUCAAUUGGGGUGAAGUUAUUAAUGAAAAUGGGCUGGCGCCAAGGACGUUCAAUCAGAGAUGCACAUACUGACUCCUUAUAUGAAUCACGCAGGGAAGCGAGAAAAGCUUUCCUUGCACUCUCUGGUAUAAAUACUGAUGGUGAAAAACUACAAAUUGAUUCACACAAGUCUGAUAAGGAUGAAAAGGCCACAGAAUCACUUGAGGGGUUACAUUCUACGGGAAAUACCCCGGUAUAUGUUCUUCAUCCCAAGCAAGAUUUGCAUGGGUUAGGUUUUGACCCAUUCAAGCAUGCUCCUGAGUUUAAAGAUAGGAAAAGAUUGCAGAAGUCAGCUAGGGACUGCAAUAGAAGUGGUGUUUCAAUGAGGGGAAGUCUUCUGAUUUCAAACUCAGGACAAUAUGCUCCUGGCUUUGGGAUUGGAGCACUCGAGGAUCUAGGUGUUGAAGAUGAGGAUAUUUAUGCAUCAGGUUUUGCAUAUGAGCAAAUGGAAGUUGAUAUUGAGCCUCCAAAGACAGCCAACGAUAGUAAUUAUAAACUUGAAGACAGGAAAAGAGGUGUCUUCCUGGCUUUUAAAAUCGCCUCAAGUUCUGAGUACAAACUUGAAAGAUUUGAUCCUCCUGACAUCCCAGCUAAUUUUGAUGGUCGCCACAAGUUUCUAACUCCACUCCAGGCUGUUAAUAACUUUUCUGAUUUGGCCCCUCCUGAGGUUCCUCCUCCAGAAGACACUAGCUUGAGAUUAUUGAUUGAGGGUUGUGCCGCUAUGGUUGCUCGUUGUGGAAAACAUAUUGAGGAUUUUUACAAAGAGAAAAGCAAAACAAAUACACAGUUUAAUUUCCUUAAUGAAGGAGAUGGUUGUAGCUACUAUUCAAGGAAGUUAUGGGAGUAUCAGCAGAAGUAUAUUGAUCAACGAAGACCUGAUACUGUGAAAUCCAAGACUUCUUCUGAUAAGUUGACUGCUGAAAAUCGUGGAAAGAUUCUUGGUGAAAAGCCCCUUGAUAGAAGCACUAAACCAUCUAGCUCAUCCUUACCUGCAAAGGAGACAAUUCAACUGCAGUCCAAUCUUGGUGACACAUUUGUGAAGCCAAUAUCGCUUGAUGGCCUACCAGAGUAUGAAAAGCCUUUCAGAAAUGAUCCUGCAAAGCAGGCAAGGUUUGAGCAGUUUCUUAAGGACAAAUACCAAGGAGGCCUUCGCGCUGCAAAUCUUAUACCUACAAGUACUAUGUCAGAUGCUGACCGUGCCCGUGAAAGACUAGAUUUUGAGGCUGCUGCUGAGACAAUUGAAAAGGGCAAGGAAAAAAAGGCUCUGGAUCCUUUAUCAUUGUUGGGUUUAACUGGAAUAAAUGAGCAACGAUUUGUAUCAUCUACUGAAUCAGAGAAAUUGAUACCAGCACAAGAUGAGAAAUCAAUCUAUCCACGGAGGGAGGAGUUUGAAUGGCGGCCAUCACCAAUACUAUGCAAGCGUUUUGACAUCGUUGAUCCUUUCAUGGGAAAGCCAAUGUAUGUUCAAAGGCCACGAAGCAAGAUGGAUAGCCUUAUAUUUAUGUCAGAAUCCUCUACGAGGACAAAUGACAAAGAGGAAAGUUCAAGUAUUGCUUCACAACAUACUUCUGAGCCAGGAACAACAGAGAUAGAAGCAAAGGGGAGUGCAACUGACCCUGAUAUUGGGUCCAGCAGUAUGCAGAAGCCUGUUGAUCUUUACAAGGCUAUCUUUUCUGAUGACUCAGAUGAUGAUAUGGAUGAACCUCUUACUAAUCAACCAGUUGAUCCAGUAAAGACCAGUGAAGAUGCUAAUAUGGUUCUCAAUCGUCUUGUUGCCGAGGACUUCCUAGAAUCGUUGGGUAAAGAACUGGGGUUGGAUGUUCCACCAGAAAAGCCUACACCACCCAAUGUCUUAUUUAGACCAGAAAUGCCUUCAACAGCUAAUGCAAGUAGCAUAUCUAGAAAUGGAAAGGCAACUACUUCUCAGGAAAUAAAGGAGAACAAGAGUUCUCUUCACAAGGCAGUAGUUGCCAAUGCCAGUGCAGAUGCUCCUUCAGAUAAUGCUGAAAGGCUUGAUUUGAAAUAUGAGAAGCAGGAGCAUAGAGCUGAGAAAGGAAGUUUACACUAUUCGCAUCGUCAAACCCAAAGUGUUGGUCUAGAUUCAGAUUCAACCUCUGAUCAGCAUAGGAGUAGGAAAAGGAGAUCACGCCAUCAAAUCCGAAGUGGAAGUCCAGAUUCUGAUUCUUCUGUUGAGCGUCGUAGGAGUAAGAAAAGAAAGUCACAUUCAAGUCAUAGAACACGCAGGAGUAAAAGUCCUUAUGCUGAUUCUUCCAGUGACAGCCAGCAUACUAAAAGGAAACGCCGUGAGAAAAAGCGUCACCAGACUCGCAUUCCUGAUACUGAUUCUAGUGAUCAUGAAUAUGAGGAAAGACAUAAAUCCAGUAGUCGGCGUUCAUCUGAUAAGGACAGAUCCAGAAGACGUUCUAGACACCACAAACGUUGAGGAAAUAUUCCUACAAAACGUUUAUUGGUGAUAGCUACAAAAACGUGAGGGAAAAAUCAGUAGAGUAACAAAUCUUGAAUCAUGGAAAUUCAGGUAAAGUAUUUGGUGAGGCAGAUCUGGUGACUUUUGAGGUUGAUAAUUUUCAUUACAUGUUAUUAUUAUGAAGUCCUCAUUGCUAUCUAAUGGUCCACCAAAACUGCCUGGAAGCUUCUUACAUUAUAGGACAGAGAACUGGUGUUGGAAGGAUGCUUUAGAUGUUGGGAUUGUCAUCAACUCAUAAUGCCUGUUCGGCUGGGCUUCUUAAUGUUUGUCUUGUUAAUACAUAUUACAGAUGACAUCUAUGGAAGACUGUAAAAACUAAAUGAUCGUAUGUAAAUACUAGUACCACACUGGGCUGUUAGAAUUAGUGCAAUCAUGUUGAAGAGCCUGCUGAAGGCCCAUGUUUUUUCUGCUUGGUACAGUUUGUAUUCAUCAAAUAUGACCUGGUCAGAAAUAAACCACCAGAGCUGGGUUCUGGAUCUGCUGAAGCUGGAAGCAUCCCUACCCCACCCACAUCAACAUCCAUUCAAGACAGUGCAGCACUGUGUGAUCAUGAGAAGCUAACAAGAUUCUCCCCAAGACUACAAAAGCGGCCACUUUCGUGUUGCAGUCACUGUUUUCACCGGAAUCGAAGCCCACAGGUGAUGUCAAUACGAGCCGAGUGAGUAACCCUUUUCCCCUUAAAACCCACCUUGAAAAGAUUCUUUUAGAUGUGUCUCUCAUGUGCAAAAAAGCUGGGAGCUGUGGAUAUCGCUGUUUUGCCUGGGGAGAGACGAGAGAGAGCAUGUGUCGCUUUAGGCUGGGCCCAUGGAUGUUCCUUCCUCCCAUGGCAACUCUUACCUUUUGUCAAUCGCAAAUUGGCCAUGGCAUGGCAAGGCAAGGAGAGGUGGCCCGUCGACGUCGUCCUCUUCGCCACCACGGUGGUGACUGACAGCCAUUGCCUUGCCGCGAAGAUGGAGUGUCAACCGCAUUGCUGAGAGAAAACAACCAAGGAUUAUUUGUCGGUUUCCUUGCCACACUCUCAAGCAUGAACUUUCUUUUAACCAAGCCAUCUCCAAUUUAGACGCUUAGUAGGGUGCUUGUCGAAAUAUGUGCUGUGCCAUGGGUUGUUGUUAGUCCUGACCGAACUUACAAAUGAAACUGUCGUGGAUGCAGGAAAUUCAAGGUGGUUUUUAGUGCCACUGUCCGUAAGUUCCGUAGGGGGGCGAAAUCUUGUGCACAGUUUUUCUGGCGGAGUGUUUUUCUUCUUGUGUUUGUAUGCCGACAGCAAUUUGCAUGUACUGUGCGUGUAAAGAUCUUGCUUUCGUGAGCAUCGUUGAAAUGGACUCACGUUUAAUCUGUUGCCCUACAUUUAGAAUCAAGAGCCACUGCCAGUUGGGCCUGCAUGAUUAAACCUUAAACAAAAUUAACCAAGCCAUCAAGAAGAUGAGAUGGGAGAGCUUGGAGAGUGAGGUUUCUGGGUCAACUCCCAAUCAUCGGCGCACACAAAGGAACAGGUUAACCUAACCUCGCCCCGGUGGCCACCAACUCCGCCUUGAAUAAGAAAGGCACGUCACAAUGGAUUCGACAACAAAUCAACCGUUGCCAAGGGAGAUGAAAGGGAAUUGUUUCUCUUAUUAUUAUGCGAUUAUGUGAAAAAAGAGAAUGGAUUUCAACAAUUCUGUAUUUACUAUUAAUUGAUU
Molecule: RNA transcript, 4807 nt
Organism: Oryza brachyantha (malo sina)
Lineage: Eukaryota; Viridiplantae; Streptophyta; Magnoliopsida; Poales; Poaceae
Gene name: G patch domain-containing protein TGH homolog
Exons: 17
Source: RefSeq, a predicted model, not a curated record